Luteipulveratus sp. is the source of this 77-nucleotide regulatory RNA element. It matches the Rfam family "6C RNA". The record is from Rfam. Lineage: Bacteria; Bacillati; Actinomycetota; Actinomycetes; Micrococcales; Dermacoccaceae.
GGAGCACCAGCCCCAUCCCCCCCUGGGGUUUGGCGCUUCGACGGGCCCCGCUGUCCCCCCAGCGGGGCCCGUCUCCG